AGCAUGCAGUCGAGCGGGACAGAUCCAUCUUGGUAUAUGUUGACGAGCGACGGACGAGUGAGUAAUGCAUAUGAGUCUGCCCGUUAGUGAGGGAUACCCUGGGCGGACGCUGGCUCAUACCGCGCACUACGUACGGGAGAAAGGGGGCUCCGGCUCCCGCUCUGGUAUGUGCAUAUGUCUCAUAAUCUAUUUGGGGAGGUGACGAGGCACACGGGCGACAAUACGUAUAUGGGCUGAGAGAAUGAGAAGACCCAUCGUGACUGAGACACGGCCCCAACUCCCACAGGAGGCAGCAAUGGGGAAUAUUGGACAAUGGGGGAAACCCUGAGCCAGCCAUGCCGCGUGUGUGAAGAAGGCCCUCGGGUUGUAAAGCUCUUUCUCCGAGGAAGAACGCCUAUGGGUUAAUACCCGCUAGGACUGACAUCUCUCCCAUAAAAAGCACCGGCUAACUCCGUGCCUCCAGCCGCGCUAAUACGGAGAGUGCAAGCGUUAAUCGGAAUUACUGUGCGUAUAGCGCGCGUAGGUGGCUUGAU
RNAcentral lists this ribosomal RNA (533 nucleotides) under Vreelandella aquamarina. RNAcentral's name for it is "bacterial SSU rRNA". It matches the Rfam family "Bacterial small subunit ribosomal RNA", at positions 52 to 584 of the family's 1533-position model. Lineage: Bacteria; Pseudomonadati; Pseudomonadota; Gammaproteobacteria; Oceanospirillales; Halomonadaceae. The record is from RNAcentral.